GCCCUGCAUUGGGCUCUGUGCUGACAGCUCGGAGCCUGGAGAUUCUGUGUGUGUGUGUCUCUCUCUGCCCCUCCCCUCCUUGUGCUCUGUCUCUCUCUCUCUCUUUCUCUCUCUCAAAAAUAAAUAAAUAUAUAAACAUUUUUAAAAAUUUUAAUUGAUGGUCAAGAAGAGGAAAGUUUAAGGUUGUCCUUGUAUAAUGAAAUGUUCAUAUGUAUGUACUACACGAUGAAUGGUACUGUAACUAGGAAUCCCAAAUUCUCCGCUAUCCAUGAGAUAAGCAGCUAAGUUAGUACAGGAAUGCUCACUUUAGCAUUACUUAACUUAAAAUUUUCUUUUAAGUACUUUAUGCUGGGAGGUAUUAUAGUUCAAUUACUAAGUGGAUGUAUAUAUUUUAUAUAUAAUGACACAAAAAGGAUUGACCUGUAUGCACCAGGACAUCUCCCCAAUUCAAAAGCAGCAUAAACCCACAACUGUGUAAUUAUCAAACCACAAUAUUAUUGGAUAACUCACAGUGCUUCUGUCACUAAAAUGGUUAUGCAACUGUAGAUAUUUAUGAAAUGUUAAGGUGUUUGUUCCCAGAGACUAUUCAAUUGUUUCCACCAACAUUCUUAUAUUCUUCCCUCACAAUUAGCCAAGACAUUCUUGAGCAGUGAGGUCCAGGCCCACAGAAAGUUUCCACCUUAAAGUAUGAAAAAAAUCUUCAUUCUGAGUACAGAUCACAUCGAACUCCCCUGAAGCAAAAGAAAGGGGAACAUUUUCUUAUUAUGUGGAAUUCAAAGCGGUUAAGCAGAAAACGAAAUCCAGAAGUUGCCCAAGAGCACACAGCUGCUAUGCAGUGGCACAGCCCAGGUCCUUCUGACCACCUCCAGUGGCAACAAAUGACUUCUGCAAAUUACAUCUGCCUGCCCACAGGUCUCUGCCACAGCAUUUCAGUCCCACCCAUUGUUUAGACAACUUGCCUGAACAUGGACAGGAUGCCCAAUCUCUCGCUUGUCAGCCUCCAACCCUGGGACAACUCAAGGGCUUCAUUUCCCUGCCUCUGCCACUCAGAGGAGAGAAGCUCAGACAAUUCUACAGGUUGGUUCCACACUACAACUUUUUAUUUUGAAAUGCUGUCUUCUAAACGUACCAAAUAAAAGACAAAGGCAGUAGGGAAAGAACCAAUUCUAUUUAUUUCCAUAUUUUCACUUAAAUAUAUACAUAAUUAAAAAUUAAAGGAAAACCCCCUAUAAUGCCAUCGCCAAUAAAAUUUUGGUAGAUUUUAUUCAGGCUUUCCUUCCUAUGCACCUUUCAAAUAGUUGUAAUCAUGACACGCAUACAGUUUUUAGCCUGCUUUCUCAGCUAAUUCAUAUAGAUCAUAGAUCUUUUCCUGUGUUGCUACAGAGUUGUCAUAUGUAAUAUUGUUACUAUCUGCAUUAUAUUCCAGCAUUGAUGAAAUGUAGAGCUCGAAUGCUUCCUAUGUCAGUAUUGGGAUCUGUAUCCAGAGUUGUCCGUCAUUCUGCAGAGAUAGCCCCUGCCGACAGUCUACCCACACUGCAUCCCUUGCCCAAGACAGUGGAGUGAAUGGGCAGGCCCCUUCAGCAGCUAUAAUAGAUCAGCACCAAAUACCCACCACCCCCACUGCUGCUCUCUAACAUCACUACCCCACCCCCCACCUCUAAGACAUGGGCAGGCCUUUACCAGUCUCCUCAGGCCUCUUUCCCUCUUUCUGUUCCCUGUUUCCUCCCCAGCAAAAGGCCUCACUUCCCACUUCAAUAAACAUAUCCCUUAGCUCAAAUAUCCUCUCCCCUGUAGAACUGUCCCUAGCCUUCCCCGUUUCUGUACUGGCAGACCAUCAAAGCGCUCCCCCAACCUCUCUCCCUUAACCUCACAACUUAGCUCUUAUGUUCCCACCUUUCCUUCCUGCCCUUAUAUCUCAGAGAAAAGUCUUUCCUAUAUUCCAUUGCUAAUCCUUCUGCAUUGGCCAUUAAUUUCAUCCUCUUUGGACUUUUCCAAGACAGUCUUGCCAUUCAUUAUCCAUCUGCCCCCACUGUCACUGAGGGCAUUUCUUGCCCUCUACUGGCUUAAUCCUCUCAGCCAAAACUUUUCUUCCAGCCAUAAUGCACAUGCUUGUGCACACACAAAAUUACUUUCUAUUGUUGGCUCAGACAAAUUUCUCUUUCCUUUCACUCAUAAACCUCUUAAAAGAGUAGUUUCUCCCUUGCUAUUCUUACUUCCUCAACCCAUUAUAGCUUUCUGUUUCUACAUUUAUUGAGCAUCUCCUAUGUGAAAACAAUGGAGAAAUAGAGAUGAACAAGGCAGUCCCUGCUCCUGAGGAACUUCUAGCUAGUGGGGAAGACAGUAAACCAAACAAAAUAACACAAUAAAAUAAAUGCCAUAGUAGAAAUAUGUGCAGCAGGAUCCAUAGAAGAGCUUCCUGGAGGAAAUUGGAAAGACUUCCUAGGAAGGUGGCUUUUGAGUUAGGCCUUGAACAGUGCAUUCAGUAUUGCCAGGUAGAAACUAUCUAUGUGUACAUUUGGAGAGAGAGUUGGGGAGAGCCUACCACUGACAGAGGGAAUGACUUAUGCAAAGGGCUGAGAAACUAUGAUAUUGACACGUAUUUAGGGCUUCAGCUCAGUUAUUGGAAGAGUUGGUUCCUGGUUCUCUAAGCAGCCCGCUUGGAGAAGAGACGGAGAAAGAUUUGUUCAGGCCAGUAGUUCUCCAACUUUGGUGUGCACCAGAGGGCAUGAAAAUACAAAUUGUGGUGCCCCGCUCCCAGAGUUUUGAGGUGGGGUAUGGGA
Long non-coding RNA from Panthera uncia (snow leopard), 2780 nucleotides. RefSeq lists it as uncharacterized. The transcript is spliced from 3 exons. The record is from RefSeq and is a predicted model, not a curated record. Lineage: Eukaryota; Metazoa; Chordata; Mammalia; Carnivora; Felidae.